RNAcentral lists this ribosomal RNA (459 nucleotides) under uncultured bacterium. Its description in RNAcentral is "partial 16S ribosomal RNA". It matches the Rfam family "Bacterial small subunit ribosomal RNA", at positions 338 to 795 of the family's 1533-position model. The record is from RNAcentral.
GCUACGGGUGGCAGCAGUGAGGAAUAUUGGUCAAUGGCCGUAAGGCUGAACCAGCCAAGUAGCGUGAGGGAUGACUGCCCUAUGGGUUGUAAACCUCUUUUAUGCGGGGAUAAAGGUGUCCACGUGUGGCUGUUUGCAGGUACCGCAUGAAUAAGGACCGGCUAAUUCCGUGCCAGCAGCCGCGGUAAUACGGAAGGUCCGGGCGUUAUCCGGAUUUAGUGGUUUUAAAGGGUGCGUAGGCGGACGUUUAAGUCAGUGGUAAAAGCCCGGGGCUCAACCCCGGCGAGCAGUUGAAACUGGCUGUCUUGAGAUGUCGAGAGGUAGGCGGAAUGCGCGGUGUAGCGGUGAAAUGCUGAGAUAUUGCGCAGAACGCCGAGUGCGAAGGCAGCAUACCGGCGGCGAUCUGACGCUGAGGCACGAAAGCGUGGGUAUCGAACAGGAUUAGAUACCCGGGUAGUC